GCUGGGCACUGUAGCGCAUGCCUGUAAUCCCAGUGGCUUGGUAGGCUGAGGCAGGAGGAUUCUGAGUUCAAAGCGCAAGGCACUAAGCAACUCAGUGAGACCCUGUUUCUA
RNAcentral lists this small RNA (111 nucleotides) under Marmota monax (woodchuck). Lineage: Eukaryota; Metazoa; Chordata; Mammalia; Rodentia; Sciuridae. The record is from RNAcentral.